Molecule: long non-coding RNA, 1434 nt
Organism: Papaver somniferum (opium poppy)
Lineage: Eukaryota; Viridiplantae; Streptophyta; Magnoliopsida; Ranunculales; Papaveraceae
Exons: 4
Source: RefSeq, a predicted model, not a curated record
UUGUCGCAUCUUUUCUUCUUCUCUUUCGCUCUUUCUCUCUCACGAUUGUGUCUUCUGAAAUCUUGAUUUUUUGAUUGUUUUGUUAACUUUUUAUUUCUUGAUUUAUUUCACAACUUCUGAAAACACAAGUUGUCGUAACUUUUUUUUUUUACUGAUUUGAGAUGAUUCUCUAUAUUAGGGUUCUUUCGGUUAUAGCAAACUGAUUAAAUAUUGGUUUUGUUGUAUGAGAAUGUUGAUGUUACAGCAAUUGCUGGGAGUGGUUGAAAUACUUCAAUUGAUGACCAAUUGUCAUCAUUUAUAGAAGAGAAACCAGCUGGAAAAGCAUGAAGAUGAAUUUUGCAUUUUAAACUAGCUAGAGAUGUCAAGCGAGAAGAGCAAACUUGGUGAUCAAAUUUCGCAGCUAAUUAGACACAUUAAUUGGAGCAAUAUGAUAAGUAAACGGGCACGGUACUUCGGAUGGGUUUCCAGAUAUGCUCUAUCUCUCCAAAGCGGUAAUUGAGGAAGGUAAGGCCUGUAUUACUCAGGUCGGCAUCUCUCAAAAGUGGAACAAUGUUGAUGUCAUGGAGAUCAAUGAUGUGACCAGCUUGGAUUUGCAUACUCUACCAUAAUGGUGAUUAACUAUGUAUGGUUGUUCCUAAGAGCGUCCACAAUGGUACGAUCAUAACCAAAGAUCAAAGACCAAAACAAACGAUCAAAUUUGAGAGUAGUCUGGAGUGUGACGUUAAGGCAUUGGAGUAUUUUUAGUCGAGCGGAAGUAUAAUGAACGCUUGCAUGUGGAGCGUUCAUAUAAUCUUCGUCCCGAAGAGGCGUUGAUAUAGUUUACGCUCGUUGUGGGGCGUUGUUAAAGAAUACGCUCGUUGUGGGGCGUUCAUAUAGUUAACGCUCGGAGAAGGGACGAACAUAUAAUCUACGCCUGGUGUGGCGGACACGUGAAUCAACGCCUCAUUCAGGCGUUAAGAAUAUCAACGCCUCAUUCAGGCGUUAAGAAUAUCAACGCCUCAUUCAGGCGGGGUGGGAAUUAAACGCUUCAUACGGGAGAACUUAUAAUCAACGCCCGUUGAACGCCCGUCUGGCGAAUGUAUAAUGAACGCCCCCUUGUCAGGCGUACGUAUAGUGUUGUACCCAAAUUAACACACGUAUCGAGCACGUGUGGACAAAGAGAAACCACCACGUAUAUCACACGUGUUCACUUGGUGUUUACCCUAAUCUUCUCCGUCUUCUUUUCUUUUCUUUUCUUCUUUCCUUUUCUUUUCUACCUCCUGUUUACCUCCUGUUUGUUUCUACCGCCCACAAACACAACACAUCACAGUAACUAGCAGGAAAAGAGAAUAGAAAAAAAAACCAGAUACUUGAUGAAUCCCGGUUAGAAAAGAGACGAACAAGAAACAAAAAUCUGUAGCCGAAGAGGAUUAUAACUUAAUCGCUACUGGUACA